CCUACGGGUGGCAGCAGUAAGGAAUAUUGGUCAAUGGACGAGAGUCUGAACCAGCCAAGUAGCGUGAAGGAUGACUGCCCUAUGGGUUGUAAACUUCUUUUAUAUGGGAAUAAAAUGUUCCACGUGUGGGAUUUUGUAUGUACCAUAUGAAUAAGGAUCGGCUAACUCCGUGCCAGCAGCCGCGGUAAUACGGAGGAUCCGAGCGUUAUCCGGCUUUAUUGGGUUUAAAGGGAGCGUAGGUGGAUUGUUAAGUCAGGUGUGAAAGUUUGCGGCUCAACCGUAAAAUUGCAGUUGAAACUGGGAGUCUUGAGGACAGGAGAGGUGGGCGGAAUUCGUGGUGUAGCGGUGAAAUGCUUAGAUAUCACGAAGAACUCCGAUUGCGAAGGCAGCUCACUGGACUGCAACUGACACUGAGGCUCGAAAGUGUGGGUAUCAAACAGGAUUAGAUACCCUUGUAGUC
This 460-nucleotide ribosomal RNA is filed under the name uncultured bacterium. Its description in RNAcentral is "partial 16S ribosomal RNA". It matches the Rfam family "Bacterial small subunit ribosomal RNA", at positions 338 to 795 of the family's 1533-position model. The record is from RNAcentral.